This 375-nucleotide ribosomal RNA is filed under the name uncultured bacterium. RNAcentral's name for it is "bacterial SSU rRNA". It matches the Rfam family "Bacterial small subunit ribosomal RNA", at positions 524 to 898 of the family's 1533-position model. The record is from RNAcentral.
UACGAAGGGAGCUAGCGUUGUUCGGAAUUACUGGGCGUAAAGGGCGCGUAGGCGGUUUGACAAGUUGGGUGUGAAAGCCCAGGGCUCAACCCUGGAACUGCACUCAAAACUGUUUUACUUGAAUUCGGUAGAGGUUGGUGGAAUUCCCAGUGUAGAGGUGAAAUUCGUAGAUAUUGGGAAGAAUAUCCGUGGCGAAGGCGGCCAACUGGACCGACAUUGACGCUGAGGCGCGAAAGCGUGGGGAGCAAACAGGAUUAGAUACCCUGGUAGUCCACGCCGUAAACGAUGCAUGCUAGACGUUGGAAACCUCAGGUUUCUUGUGUCGCAGCUAACGCACUAAGCAUGCCGCCUGGGGAGUACGGCCGCAAGGUUGAA